CUUUUGGGUCCUAUAAUUGGAAUGAGUACAAUUUAAAUCCGUUAACGAGGAACAAUUGGAGGGCAAGUCUGGUGCCAGCAGCCGCGGUAAUUCCAGCUCCAAUAGCGUAUAUUAAAGUUGUUGCAGUUAAAAAGCUCGUAGUUGAACUUCAGACCUGACCGGGCGGUCCGCCUAACGGUGUGUACUGUCUGGCCGGGCCUUACCUCUUGGUGAGCCGGCAUGCCCUUCACUGGGUGUGUCGGGGAACCAGGACCUUUACCUUGAGAAAAUUAGAGUGUUCAAAGCAGGCUUACGCCGGAAUACAUUAGCAUGGAAUAAUAAAAUAGGACGUGCGGUUCUAUUUUGUUGGUUUCUAGAGUCGCCGUAAUGAUUAAUAGGGAUAGUUGGGGGCAUUUGUAUUGCGUUGCUAGAGGUGAAAUUCUUGGAUUUACGCAAGACAAACUAUUGCGAAAGCAUUUGCCAAGGAUGUUUUCAUUAAUCAAGAACGAAGGUUAGGGGAUCGAAAACGAUCAGAUACCUUUGUAGUCUUAACAGUAAACUAUGCCGACUAGGGAUCGGACGACCUCAAUAUUAUGCGUCGUUCGGCACCUUACGAGAAAUCAAAUUCUUUGGGUUCUGGGGGGAGUAUGGUCGCAAGGCUGAAACUUAAAGGAAUUGACGGAAGGGCACCACCAGGAGUGGAGCCUGCGGCUUAAUUUGACCCAACACGGGGAAACUCACCAGGUCCAGACAUAACUAGGAUUGACAGAUUGAUAGCUCUUUCUUGAUUUUAUGGGUGGUGGUGCAUGGCCGUUCUUAGUUGGUGGAGUGAUUUGUCUGGUUAAUUCCGAUAACGAACGAGACCUUAACCUGCUAAAUAGCCUGGCCGGCUUUUGCUGGUCACUGGCUUCUUAGAGGGACUGUCAGCGUCUAGCUGACGGAAGUUUGAGGCAAUAACAGGUCUGUGAUGCCCUUAGAUGUUCUGGCCGCACGCGCGCUACACUGACAGAGCCAGCGAGUUUUUUUUCCUUGGCCGGAAGGUCAUGGGUAAUCUUGUGAAACUCUGUCGUGCUGGGGAUAGAGCAUUGCAAUUAUUGCUCUUCAACGAGGAAUUCCUAGUAAGCGUGAGUCAUCAGCUCGCGUUGAUUACGUCCCUGCCCUUUGUACACACCGCCCGUCGCUACUACCGAUUGAAUGGCUUAGUGAGACCUCCGGAUUGGCUUUGGGGAGUCGGCAACGACACCCCGUUGCUGAAAAGUUGGUCAAACUUGGUCAUUUAGAGGAAGUAAAAGUC
RNAcentral lists this ribosomal RNA (1273 nucleotides) under metagenome. Its description in RNAcentral is "SSU rRNA". It matches the Rfam family "Eukaryotic small subunit ribosomal RNA", at positions 493 to 1790 of the family's 1831-position model. The record is from RNAcentral.